This 3311-nucleotide unclassified non-coding RNA is filed under the name Drosophila pseudoobscura pseudoobscura. Its description in RNAcentral is "GA20556". The record is from RNAcentral. Lineage: Eukaryota; Metazoa; Arthropoda; Insecta; Diptera; Drosophilidae.
ACUCCCGAGAGAGCAAUGAGCCAAGCCAAUGAGCCAGAGCCACCGGCGACGGCCAAGCCAAAGGCGCCGAGGUGUCGCAAGCGCCGACAGCGCCGGAAGCGGCAGAUCGCCUACCUGGCCAUAUGCAGCCUGAGCGUGGCAGUGUUCGGACUCGCGCUGGCCACGCUGAUACGACCAGCAGCCGCCGCCGACGCAGACGCUGAACUUGACGCUGACGCCUCGAACGAGAGGACGGAAAAGAAAGGUGACGACAACAAUCCCCAGGUGGAAUGGCGAGCGGGCUACGCGGGGCACGGCACCACCCACGAGCAGAUGGGGGAGCUGCAUUGGGCACCGGUUGACUACACCCCCUACAAGCCUACCGUGAACUAUACACGCCCGCCCACAGCCCCGACGACUGCAAUGAAUCCGAUUUUCAACUUCACGCACAAGCUAUACGACAGCAUAAUCUCCGAUGAGCCGGCCCUGCCACCGGGGUACAUUGUGAUGCAGGGCGACUCCCUGGCGCUUGGUCCCAAGUUCCACAAUGCCGACUUUCGAGAUCUGAUAGCCCGCUAUUGGUUGGUUCUCCUCUUCAUUCUGUUCCUCUGCGUCAUCAUUGUGGUCAUGCCGUUCGUAGCCGUCUGCUAUUGCUGCCUUUGCUGCUGCCGCCGGUGCCGUCAGGGCUGUCCCCCAUGCACCAGCAAGCAGGAUGCCCAACGACGGCUGUGGUGCGGCGUUUGUCUUCUCAUCCUAAUAGUGGGACUGAUCUUUGGCAUUGUAAUUGCCUUCGUGACAAACAGGCUGCUGGACAGGGGCUUCGAUCAGGCCACCGUGACAAUGAAGCGCGGCAGCGAUGACAUUUGCUUGUUCCUGAAGGAUGUGGCCGAUCACGUUCACCACCUGAUGGUGUACAACUACGAGGAAAUGCAGACGCACAUUUCCGAUGAGCUAAGCAGUGCCCACAAGCAUAUAUUUUUGGACUUGGCGGAUACAUCGGAGAGCACCUCUUUGGGUGAGCUGGAGCGGAUAUUGCACAACAUGCCGGAGGCGAGACAGCUGAUGGAACAAGUCGCCAAAAUGGAAACGGACUUGCGGUUCUAUGGCGCCCAACUGCGAGACGGUCUUCGUGGCAUGAAGCGGGAUAUCAACUUUGCGGUGGCCAAUCUGUGCACCACUCAGGAGUGCCAGACCUUCCUAAGCUCCAGCAGCAUUGAGUUGAUAGACACCUCCAAGUGCCUGCACUUUGAUACGAUUCCCAAUGCCACGCUAUAUCUGGAAGGCUUGAACAUUGUGGUUAAGGAGAACUAUAUCAAAAUACCCACGGACGGACUCACCCGCAUGGAGAAUGUCAGCCUGAAGGUUAAGGAGCAGCUGAACUCUGUUACACCGAGCAUGAUUCGGGACCUAAACGGCGGCAGGGACACGUUCCGCUCGCACGCGAGGAGAAUACGCAACCAAGUGGAUGCAGUGCUCAGUCAGAUUCACCUGAAGACCUCACGCUCGUCCAGGUCCUUUGAUGAUGUGUACGAUAAGUUUGGCAACAAUCGCAGCGUUAUCAGCGUCAUUGUGUGCCUGCUCAUGAUAAUGAUUCUUGGCAUCUUGAUUGUAUCUUUGCUUUGCGGCUGCUUCGGUAGACGGAAGACUGGCUAUCGCGAUGACUGCUGCAGCAAGGCAACGGCUGCCAACUGCCUAUUUCUGGCCAUUUUAUUGAUAUUCUGUAUGAUCUCGUUCAUCACGCUUAUGGGACUGGUCUACUUCAUGAUCGGUCUAGUCACUUACCAGGGAGCCUGUGCCCCACUCCGAGAUGUGGAUAAGAACGGGUUGUUCAGGCAACUGGACUCUAUGGUCGAUCUGAAUCGCUAUUUGCCACGCGCCGACGAUGCAGAACCUCUGAAGGCAGCCCCACCCCUGCGCAUGUCGAAUGCGCUCAAGAUGUGCGAGGCCAAUCAGUCGGUAUUCGAUAUGCUGCGAGCAAACAGACUGUACGACAUCAACGAACUAAAGCGCAUCAAGGUGAUGUCGUCCGAGGAGGAUUCAGAUAGCACCAAAAUAUUCGACGAGGAUAUGUCUAAAACUGAGCUCCUAACAAAGGAAGAGUUUGGAAAACUUGAAGCAAUGCGUCAAGGCGGUGCGGCCAAUUACCACAGCGAACUCUUUAAGGAUCUAUGCAGUGAGUUCACGCCGGUCAAUCUGAACGCACUUGGCGAGAAAAUGUACGCGUUGUCGAACAGCUUGGAGUCACCGACGUUUGGCUGGGCCCGAGUUUCCUUCUGGAAUGAGGGCCUCAACGCCAAGUCGUACUAUCAGAACUUUAUACCCAAGCUAACGACCAUUGUCGAGAAGAUGAAGAGCAACAUGAAGCGUAUCGACGAGCUGAUCUUAUACGAGAAUCGCGACUUUAACAACAGCAUAAGACUGCUGCUGAAGGCCGUGAGAGAAUCACAAAAUUUCAUUCAGACCAAGGGCACUAGAUAUAUCAAUGAGCUGGGUAAGAACCUCACCAGCACCAUUUCGAACAUGAUCGACGAGUACAUCUCCAUGGUCAUCGACGAGUCGAAUGAGAAUGUCGGCCGCUGUGAGCCCCUUGCCUACAUUUAUCAUCAAGGCGUUGACUUGGUUUGUCGCAGCAUGGUCGAUCCCAUAAACGGAUACUGGGUGGGCGUGCUGCUCUGCGCCCUGCUCUUCCUGCCCAUACUGUACGUCUCUCACCGUCUGAUGUGCCUGUACAAGAAGGUCUAUCCAUAUAUGGCUUCUGUCGCUAGCCAUGUGGACGUCGUUUACGAGGGCGGCUGUCCCGUAUGUACGGGAUUGCCCUAUGUGCAACAAACCUGUGCCGGUGGGCAGCAGGCCUAUUGCGCGUGCCCCGGCAAAGAACAGGGACGUCCUUCAGGCGGUGCGGGUCCCGCCGAUGAAGAUCCCGUAUUUGAUGGCCAAGUCUCUCUGCUGGAGAUGAAUAAACACAAGCAAGAUUAGCAAGAUUAACAAUAUGUUUCGGGGAAGGAUCGACAUCUACUCACAAAUUGUAUAUUUUACUAAACAUAACCGUUCUCAUUUGUACCCGUUUUCAUUUUUAUCGGAUGCAUGCCGUGAAAAUUGCCAGCGCCUGCACAUUAACCGAAAUCUCUCACACUCUUCUCAUUUCACUGCUAACCCCGCCUCAUCCAUCCCGCACGCAGCAGCGAACGCCUAUACGACGCUUAUAGUGAGCGCGAGCGCGAGCACGUUCCAUUGGCUAAUGUGCCAAAGAAACGGCGCAAGGCCUACGAACGACGUCGCGAGCAGCAGGAAUACUAUGAGGACGCAUCGCCCAGUGUGUCGCGUGCCACUCG